CGGCGAAGCUGGCCCGCAACUCAACUCGUCGAAAACUUAUCGUUUACUGUUUUACAUGCAUGUUCAUUGGUGUUAGUGAAAUCACGUUUGACAUAUCGUUUUGUUUACAUCCAAUGUCUUCUUGCUUUUGUAGUGCCAGAAAAUCCGUUUGCUUCGUCAACGGUUUUUUUUUUCUUUUCGAUGAAAGUGUGUUUUGCGGUUGAUGGAGGAAUCCGACGAACGGGCUCGGCUGCUGAAUGGAUCAUAUUCUAUUGUAGAAGAUUUAGUCAGCAAGCACUGCGGAACCGACCGUGUCUACGAGGGAGAAAUUUAUGAAAGUAAUGUGACAAACCUUGCUGAUGUGCCCAGGAACGGAUUACGGCAGUUCCGAAGGAGAGAAGAUCAUUGAGAAGGAUUCCAUACCGUGCGCGAGGCGGCUUCUCUGAAGAUGCUUUCAGUCCUGGGCACCCACGGUGGUGCAGAGGGCCGAAUUGAAUGAUUUCCAUCCUGGGCGAUUGCCAGUCAUCACCUUGACAUGUGGCCAGGUCCAUUUUCUGUCGACUGACUUGCUUGAUUUCGUUGUUGAGGCUGCGCCAACAUGAGCCUCUGGAUCUGCCUCCCCAGCGAUGUCCUGCUGGGUUCCAAUCUAACACUUGCUUGCAGAUUUCGUUUCCGCCCCUGCAUAGAGUGUGGCCGACCCGAAGAUAACUCCCAUAAAAUGUGAUGGCGACGUGAUUAGUGGGCGAGUCAAGAGAAUGUCUCAUCUCGAAUGGCAAAUAACUACAAGUCGAGGAUGUUGUCCCGAGGAAAACCACAGGCCUGUGCGAACGUUUUGAAGCAGUCCUAUGAUCGGUACAGCGUGGUUCGUCACACAAUCUGGAAAAAAGUUAAGAAUAGCGGUCAAGAUCUCUGAUCAAUUCACGAAACUAAUCAAGGCCAUCUGUCCAUCCAGCUAUAUACACCCCUUCUCAUAAUUUUAACCCACAACGGAUCCAUGCUGCUGCUGACCAAAUAGCUAAACUUCAGAAUCUGCCACGACAUUCUGGAACUAGUAGAAUCCCAACAAACACGUAGCCCUGUUCAAAGGUCUGCACAAGGUAGAACGCAUCACCAAAGGCGCGGUAAUGAUCGGUAGGAUCGAAGGACAGUUUCUACAGGACCGUACGUAUUACGACGGAUUCGACGGUUCCGCCGAAAACUAACAAUCCACUGGAAGUUGGAAUAGUACCGCAGGGAAACCGAAGCAUCAAACACGAGAAGAACGGGAAAUGUUUAUUUGAAGCACAUCUCGGUCAGCAUUUAAUUAUUUUUUUGGAAGCAAAAACACAGCGCCAUCACCAAGCUUGCGGGAAAAGAUAGAACUAAAAUAGUGGUACAAGUAUGCCUUGCUUUUGGUUGUUGCGGUUGUUAUUAACUUGCAAGUCGCUUGGUAGGAAUAGAGCCGCUCAGAGCUCUAAUGAGGUUUUUUACGUACAGGUAUUCUUGGUUUCGCUGAGCCUGGAAGAAGGCCAAGGAGCAUUCAGCCCCGCCGUGAUGUUCUUGUUUACGACGUCCGUAUCGUUACGUUCAUCAAAUCGUAAUUCGAUCGGAAUCCCGAUUCGUGACGAGGAAUGAGACUGUGUUAAGGAAUCGGUGCAUAUCCAUAUUGCCAACCUGUGCCAACUGUGUCCAUGGAAUUUCGGAUGACGAUUUGUCCUGACGACCUGUCCUGCUAGGGAUUUCCAGUUAGCCUAGUGAUUAAAACUAUAGAUCGCCAAUUCGGAAACGGCGGGUUGGAUUCCCGUUCCAGUCGGGAAAAUUUUCUCGACUCCCUGGGCAUAGUGUAUCAUUGUACUUGUCUCACAAUGUACAAAUUCAUGCAAUGGCAGGCAAAGGAAGCCCUUCAAUUAAUAACUGUGGAACUGCUCAAAGAACACUAAGUUGAAGCGAGGAGCGAGGCAGGCCAAGUCCCAGUGGGGACGUCGAGCCAUAAAGAAGAAGAAGAAGAAGAAGAAGAAGAUUUGUCCUGGUUGAACUAUAGACUAAUUUGCACCAUCUGAAGGAAAAAUUAGGAUCCGUUCCGAGACCUUCGAGGACGCCGGGCUCAGCUUGUAUUCUGAUCUUUCGGAUGCUCAUUAUUUUGAACGAAUGAUUCCACUGUACUAAUGGUGUGGAACUCCAAAUAAAGUUACGAUUAUGAACAUAAAGUUAGUAUUUUUUGGAUAUAUUAACAUUCAAUAAAUUUAUGUUAACCGGUGAGCGCCAUCGUCUCAUCACUGGUUAGGCGGUGAAAUUGAUCGCUCAUGAGUGAACUGAUCUUACUCGCUUCAGUAAAUGUCAUUAAGCUCUGGGUGGGUGGGCAAGAACUACACCAUUCGAAUACCAUCAGAUUCGGGCCGUUGUCAUGUAUUCUCAAAUAUCACAUAGCAAUGACCUAUGUCAUUGGCACUUCAGAAAUCACUUCAAAUGCAAAACCCCACAUGAACCGUAACUCGACUCUUUCAGCAUAGCACUCCGUUCUCAUGCAAUAAUACUUGCAUACACAUAAAUUACUUAGACUGCUGCCAAGUGCAUCACGCAACAAGCGUUGGUGCCUUAUUCGCUUAUACUUUCUCUCUCUCUCUCUCUCUCUCUCUCUCUCUCUCUCUCUCUCUCUCUCUCUCUCACCUCCCACUAGGAUAAGUAUUGUGUAGAGAACAAAUCUAUGUAUGUAGAAUUAAGUGAUUUUUAAACUUGUAGAUUGAAAUAAAGACAGUUUUUAUUUAACA
This is a long non-coding RNA of Aedes albopictus (Asian tiger mosquito), 2726 nucleotides long. RefSeq lists it as uncharacterized. The record is from RefSeq and is a predicted model, not a curated record. The transcript has 4 exons. NCBI's taxonomy places the organism in Eukaryota, Metazoa, Arthropoda, Insecta, Diptera, Culicidae.